Dermochelys coriacea (leatherback sea turtle) is the source of this 196-nucleotide long non-coding RNA. RefSeq lists it as uncharacterized. The record is from RefSeq and is a predicted model, not a curated record. The transcript is spliced from 3 exons. Lineage: Eukaryota; Metazoa; Chordata; Testudines; Dermochelyidae.
UCUUCACCCUGGGCACAGAGAAGGACACCACCCAAGUCCAGACUCUGCACAAGGUGUUACCAGAGCUCCUGGAUGCCAUGCUGGGGAACCUGCUGGCAGAGUCCCCAGACACAGACAGGCUCCACUACAUCUUGGAGCAUGUCAACUUCUGGAUUGUGUCCAGGGUGUCCCAGGAGAGAGUCAAGGCCAUAAGAAG